This 388-nucleotide long non-coding RNA is filed under the name Ananas comosus (pineapple). RNAcentral's name for it is "long non-coding RNA (ACOM_LNC010158)". Lineage: Eukaryota; Viridiplantae; Streptophyta; Magnoliopsida; Poales; Bromeliaceae. The record is from RNAcentral.
GUUGAGGUGCACACCGGGUGUAACAUACCAGAUUUUGGUAUAAAAAUAAAAAUAAAUAAAAAUAGUGUAAGAUAAUAUUUUUAUUGGAUUUAGAGAAGUAAAACAUAAGUCAGAAAUGACUUGUGCUGAAAUCGGAAUGAAAACAGAAGAUUUAGAAUUUUUUGUUGAAAACGGUACAGAUAAAUUAGCAGAAAAUGCACAGUGUCAGAAAAUUAUGAAAAUUGGAGGAUAAGUCAGAAUUAUUUUUAUGAGGCUAGAUUUAAAGUUUCAUAUUAUUUUGACACCCAAAAGGUGGAAAAUAAAAUCCGACAACUAUCGGAUAAAGAUUACAGUUCGGUACAGUUUUCGGUGACCAAACGGGGUCGAAACUGAAAACUUAAGAUAUAUU